UGCCAUAUAAUCACUCAGAAAUGUUAUCAAAAUCAAAUUCUUCCACUUUCUUGGUAUGUGUUUUCUUUUCUCGCGAUCUUCCUUGGUAGUUGGUAGUGUUUUGUUUCCCGUGUUCAUCUUUUGUUUUUAUCAUGAAUAAUUUUUGGAUCUUGGUUACUUGAAUCUUUGAAAGUUGUUUGAUGCAAAACCACUGUUUUCAACAUCUCCCUAUCUUGUGACAGAUCACUGUGAAAAAUUAAGUUAGAUUAUUUUUUGUUCUCCAUGUGACAUAUCUUGUGAAUACAUGGUUGGUAUAACCUUUAUGGAUUAAUACAAUUAUUUUGAUGAAAAAGUAAUAUAUAAAAUUGUGUGAAGAUUAUACCUUGAAGUAGAAUUUGUUCAUGAAUCUUGAGUAGAAUUUGUUCAAUCAUGAAAAAUGUUAUACUAUUCUACUUUCACGUGUUCUUGUUUGAUGUUAUCACUGAAAUACUUUCAACUUUC
Molecule: long non-coding RNA, 480 nt
Filed under: Trifolium pratense (red clover)
Lineage: Eukaryota; Viridiplantae; Streptophyta; Magnoliopsida; Fabales; Fabaceae
Description: long non-coding RNA (TPRA_LNC000441)
Source: RNAcentral